UACUCCUACGGGAGGCAGCAGUGGGGAAUCUUCCGCAAUGGGCGAAAGCCUGACGGAGCAACGCCGCGUGAGUGAAGAAGGUCUUCGGAUCGUAAAGCUCUGUUGAGAGGGACGAGAGAUUACUUCAGGAAAUGGGAGUAAGAGGACGGUACCUUUCGAGGAAGCCACGGCUAACUACGUGCCAGCAGCCGCGGUAAU
RNAcentral lists this ribosomal RNA (198 nucleotides) under uncultured bacterium. RNAcentral's name for it is "partial 16S ribosomal RNA". It matches the Rfam family "Bacterial small subunit ribosomal RNA", at positions 334 to 524 of the family's 1533-position model. The record is from RNAcentral.